GGCCUGACCAUCCAUGAGGCUGAAGACCUGUGGGUCUGGGACUGGCACCAGGACAGCAGGUUCCUGGGCUACAAGAACAGAGCCAGGGUCAGGGAGGCCGUGGGAUCUGGCACAGCCUCCCCAAUGUGCGCAUCCUGUAGCUGAGCCACGUCAGGGAGCAGUGGGGACGGGUCACCUCGUCCCAUCCAAGCAAGCAACGCUGGCUCUCAAAGAGGCUUAGAUGAAAGACCCCACUUCCUCAUGGAGGAAGGGGCUCCCCAGAGAUGUCCUCGAACCUGGACUCCUGAGAGCGUAUCUGGCAGGAGGCUCCAGCCCCUCAGACAUGAAGAGAGCAUCAGGUAGUCUCGUUCACAUGGCAUCUCCGGUCUCCAGCUCCACUUCCCGCAGCAGAGCAAACGAACCCAUCGGCUCCCAGAAUCCCAACUCUUUGACUUCCUUUCGCUCAGCAGUGGGGUUUCUCCAGCCCCCUCACCACACCUGUCAGCCUCUGAAUGAUGAAGGGCCUGAAUGUUCGAGUCACCGGAAUAAGCAAAGUCCAGGUCCAGACAAUGGGGCCUGAGUGUACUCAGCCCCUCUGGAAACCAGGUCUGAAAUGGGGAGCAAGGACCCCAGGCCAAUAACAGUAGGAGUGGGCAGAGCAGGCCUGUAACAGGGUGCUUUCCCCUGGGCUGCAGAGCCUGGGGCCUAGCCAAGCUGAUUACAGAAUGAGCCCUAACUGAGAGGCACCAGGUAUCUCCCCCUAAAGAGCCAGACUUCCGUGGUGACACAGCCCAGCUGGGGUAUCAACAGGAAGGAGAAUGAGGUCAUUCAGAGCAGCAAGAGAAACUUAAGAAGAGAGGUAGGACGUGCCCAGGGAAACCUGCAGCAAAGAGAAAGGAGCAGACCUUGCUAUUGGGUACAGGGCCCUUGGCUGCUACCAAUGUCAGGGUGGGACUGGGUUCCCCUACUGGCCCCUAAGAAGGGGCUGUACUCAAACCCGGAGAGGGUUUCGAAGCCCAGGAAGGGGGCUGCAGGCUGAGCAAGAUCCCCAGCCAUGGCAGAAGGACUUCUUUCUGUGGAAAGACCUCUUUGGACUUCUAGUGUGAGACAAGCUGGGCCCCAGAAGGGUGGACAAAAGGUGGUAACCUGGCUGGAGGGCUGAGUUACCAGGCAGAGAAACUACCAUGGUGCUGGAGCGACCAUGGAUGGGGGACGCUAGCCCAGCGAGAGGGCUGUGAUGUCAUACCUGGUCUCCUGCGCGGGCACGUAACAAUGAGUAGAUUUAUUUGAUUGGCAUAGUCAGGAGGAUUGAAUUCUGCCUGUGAUCUGCGAGGACUGAUGGAAGACUUGGUUGCUGAAGGAAUGUCUGUCCUCCCAAGCGGGUGUAUCGAGGGACCGAGCCGGUCACUGGAUUUCCCAUUUUAGUUCCAGGGACUGGUUAAGCAGCCAAAGCAGGUCUAGGGGUUUCUCCAGGUGCUCCUAGAAAACCAAGAGAGGCAGAAGGAAGUGGAGGCAGAGCUACAGACGCAGCAGCAGCUAUACCUGUGAGAGAUCUUGCAAAGGGAAUGCCCAUGGAGAAAAAGAGCAGACACGGAGAGCAUGCCUGGGCUGUGCUGAGAAGGUUAGCCCAGGAGAGCAGGGCAUGAGAAAGUGUACAAGCCUGGCCUAAUGCCAAGAUGAGGACAAUAGUUCUUUGUUUUGGGUGCAGAGAAGCAGGCCAUAUCAAAAGACCGGGCCUGCUUAGGAAAUUGCUGAGUGUCAAAAGGAGGGGCCAGGGCCCCAAGAGGUUAGAAAGAACGGAGAAGGUGUCCUCUGACACAAACCCACAUGAGGCAGGCAACGUGGAGGUGGCAGGGAUGGCCAUGGACUUUGCAGACCCUCCACCAACACACGUUGUCGGAUGCUGCAGGGAGGUGAAGGACGAAAUGGUUGGCCCAGAGAUGAAGCAGACUGGAGUAGGGACAAACGCAAGGGGGGAGCAGUCCAUGGUGGGCUCUCUGACCCUGAUGGAAAAGGUUUUGGUGUAUGCAGCGGCAGUAGCAAAGAGGCUACAGAAGAAGCUAAAGGCUUCAGAAGAGGCUUUGCAAGCAGCUGUUAAUGAGAAUGAGUGGCUGCAGGAAGAGCGUUGGGAUCCUGCAGAAGAGGAGGAUGCCUCUGCAUUCUGGUGUGGGAGCUGGCAGGGGAGCGGGAGACACUGUGGGUGCAGGCUGUACAAGCGCGCAGCCGGUGACAGCGACGAGAUGACGAGGGAUGAAGCUUGGACAAGAACAGAACUUCCCCUCGUGUGGGCCAGUUUCUAAGGAGGAGCAUAUAUGACAGGGGGUUUGGCCUGUGGGCAAUAAAGCCUGGAGCUAGGCCAAAUGGAUUACAGAGUGAGCUCCACCUGAGGGGAAAGCCAGGGAAAACCACAGCAAAGGUACAGGAGCAGGCCUAGCUGUUCGGUACAGGGCCAUAGAAAGGGCUACCAAGGCCAGCAAGGGCAGGCCAAGCCAAAGUCAGGCUGAGGAAAAGCCCCCAAAGGGACGGAGGACCUUGUUUCAGUUAAAGACAUUUUUGAACUUUUCCUCUGGGAUGAGUGCGACCCAGGAAGCAGUGGACUAAAGGAGGGUCACCUGGCUGAAGGGCUGAAUUCCCAGGCAAAAAACUGCAAAAGGGCCCAAGUGACUCUCAGCGGGGGUGGUAGCCCAACAAGAAAGCUGUGCCACCAGGCCUUGCCAGGAAGGGGCACUUAUCGGCUCUGUCCCAGCCUCUCACACAGAUAUAUCCUGCAACCAGCCCAGCUCAGGGAGCAGUGGGGACAGGUCAUCUCAUCCUGUCAAACCUAGCAACAUGGGUCCCAUUGAGGCUCAGAUGGAAGAUCCCAUGCUCCUCCUGGAGAGGGUGUGUCCAGAAUCCUGGAGACUGUUUCCUGCUGCUGGAGGUUUGAGCGGGAAGAGAUCACUCACUGUCACGACCCUGGGGUCUUCAACCCGGGUCUGUGGGGUUCAUGGGAGCAACCACACUCCAACCCUCCACCUGGAAGGCUGCUGAAAAUUGCUUACCUAAGGCCCAUGAAGCUCAGCCCCAGUUUGAGGCUCCGCUCCUGAGAUCCUAUUGGAGGAGUCCCAGAAAAGCUAAUUGGCCCCCUGGUCCUCUUAAGACAGCAGCAGGAACAGGAAGCUGACUGAACACCAGGGCUGCUCCCUGUUCUGGAUCGUGUGGUGCCUGUUUCUGCUGCCGCUCCCCUGGCUUGGUUUCCUGGCAUCUGAUUUGUGGUUGUGAUCGCAAGUUUGUCUUUUGCUGCUGAUCUUCCAGUUUUCUGACCCAGCUGACUCUCCACUCCUGUCAUGGGAGUGUGGACUUUGGCUUUGACCAGUAGGUCUGGCUGCCCUUGACCCAGCCAUGACAUUGACUUUUGUCCAAUUUCUCCAAUGCCCUUUUCUGCUCUCCAGCAAGAUACACCAGUCCCUUGGCUCCCAAAGUCCUAGUUGCCCGCUAUUCAAGGGCUGAGGGGUAGUGCUUGUAUUGCCCCCACCCCAGCUACUUUUCCGAUGGGAAUCUCCCUAGAGCAGAGGAGAAAUCUGCUCUUCUCUUAGGAUCAGUCCCAGCAGUAAUUCCAUCCACCCUGGCCUCAGCUCAACUACUUUGUUUACCUGGGGUCAGGGACCACUUUUGAAGCCCUUAGCGUGUGGGUGGAGGUGGGAGCAGAGGCUGAAGCUCGAGCAGUUUCCACCAAAGAGCACCACCCUCUCUUUCUAUGGUCUGGCUUGGGCUCACCAUCCAUCUUGGAGCUGAACACCAGAUGGGAGCUGAUAGAUUGUCCUUGGCGGGCAGUGUUCUGUGUGUGACGGAGCUGUGUGCCAGAGAGGGCCAGGAGCAGAUGCACCACGCCUGGCCAGGACCGGGCUAAACAGCCUGUAAUGCUAGCCAGUCGAUCCCCCAGUGUCAUCACCAUGCCUGGUGGCUGGGCAGGGUAACUCCUCAGGUCACCACCAUCCUCUCCAGCCUGCCUUGGGCUUGGAGAGUGAGGAGAAGGGCGAGGGACGACACUGAACAUCCUCCAUCCAUCGCUCCAUCACCUAGAGCAAGAUGGCCAGGCUCCUGAGGAUGUUCAGGAAGAAGGCUCUGCAGGUGGCCCCCGAGCUUGAGGGAAGCAGUUGCCAUCUUCCCCAGGAGCAGAGCGGCCCCUCCAUCCAGGCCAAAAUGGAGUUGGGCCAGGAUGCGGCUGGGAAGGCAGGACCCAGCCCAGGAGCGGAACCGGGCAGGGUGACUCUGGGGCUUGUUGUGUGGACAGCAGCGGGCCCAGGAGCCCAGCCCUGAUUUCCAGCAGGAGGCGUCGCCCUACCCUGUCCCUGAGGACCUUCCAGCCUUCCCAGAGAAGGAGGUGGAGAUCCCUGUCCCAGCACCAGCACCUCAGCCCGCUCCCCAUGUGACAAUAGCAGCGCCUGGGACUCGGGCAGCAGUGAGGCCUAUGGACGCUUCUGCUUUGUUCCAGGGACUGCCAGGGACUCAGAGGAGGAUUGGGUGGACGUGGUCACAGAGGAGGCUGCUCUCAAAAACAUCCGAGAGCAGGUCCAGGGCCGAGAAAAGGAUGAGGCCCAGCAGCUCCUGUUCCUGCACGCCAUCCACCCCGCGUGUCUCGCUGCACAGCAGAGAGGGCAAGACACACUGGGGCCGCACUGCUGCAAGGCGGCUGUGGAGGAGAGGAUUGUGUCAGCCAGUGAGGCCAGUUUGCAGAAUGUGGAAGAGCCCUUUGGUGAUGGGUUGGAGGAUUCACCAUGGAGGUGGCAGUAGCUGCAGUGCCUGGGGUCCCCAUGGGCCAAGCCUCCACUCCUGACAAGCCAGGCUAAUCUCCCACUGCUCUCAGUGGGGCUUGGCUUUAGCUGCAGGGCCUGUGUGCCUAGACAGAGGACUCAGGGAUUUCCAUUAGGUUGCUCAGUGGCAAAUGCGGCCACCCAAAGAAGUGAAGAAGAAUGGAAGUAAAAGAGCAAAGCUUGACCAUCCGCUGAGCUGCUGCAAUCAAGUGAGCAGAGGCGAGGAGAGAAGAGGGAGAACUCGAAGGUGGCUGGCGGCAGUAGGGAGGAGAAGCAGUUUGGGAGCCAGGAGAAUAGAAAUAAAUAGUUAAUGACAAAUACUGCAGGCUUUGUCCUGUGUGGUGAAGGGUUGAAAAGGGGUCUCUUUACUAUCACACUAAACUUUAAAAUAGCUGUGUAUGGUGAAAGGGCAGGUCUAUAAAGGUAAGAGGUCACUCUAGGGUCUUGAAGUCCCAGAUUCUGGCGCUAUUGCCUGCUUCUACCAGCUGAUUUCAACCCAGAAAAUCCCUCAGGUGGUAGCAGUUGUGAUCUCUUGUCCUCCUUUUCUGGACUAGCCACCAGAGAAAGGACACGGUACAUGUGGCCAAGGAAAUAGAGAGGCAGUGUUGCCUGUUAAUAUGGUUCUUGUGGGGGAGCACGGCAGGUUACUUUGGACUAGGUAGGAGGCACAUGUCUCCAAACCUGCACAUCCCGAGGCUCCAGAGACCUCUCUCCAGAUCCCAGAGCUUCCUCAGAGUCCUAAAGAGCCAGAUGGAAUCUGGCCUCUCUCCCCCCACCUCAGCAGUCCAGAAAAAGUUAGUUGUAGACAUGUUAUGUGUCCUCUCCUGCCACACUCCCCUGUUGGUGACUAAUGCAGUCCCAGAGUCCAGGCUCGGUGUCAUGCAUUCCUCUGGGCUGUGACAAGCAGGAGGACGUGAGCUGCAAUGGAUCCUCCUGCGUAUGGGCUGAGUGGGCAACGUCUCUACUGCCAUAUCUGAUUUCCAGCCCACAUGCACUAAGGAGAAGGUGAUGGACUUACUCCAAAGGUGGGGGUGGGAGGAAGCAGAGUGAAGAGGUGAUCAGAGAG
Long non-coding RNA from Chelonia mydas (Green sea turtle), 5838 nucleotides. RefSeq lists it as uncharacterized. NCBI's taxonomy places the organism in Eukaryota, Metazoa, Chordata, Testudines, Cheloniidae. The record is from RefSeq and is a predicted model, not a curated record. The transcript is spliced from 10 exons.